UUUAGGUGAUACAAACAACCGUUAUAUUAUGUUCGCACCGAAUUGAAAUCCUCUUGAAAACACAAUUUGUAGAUUGUGGAACCAAAGUCGUUCUGACCGACAUUGUGUGUUUUCGAUGAGUUUUCAUUGAUAGUUCACACAUUCAUUUGUUACGUACGUUUAGGCCAACGAGAAUGGUAAGUUUUAGAAUUUUUAAUAUUUGCUUACAAUUAUUAUUGUUUGUUUUAUAGAAUUCUGAGAAGAAAAUUUUAAUUACGAAAUUAUUGGCUUUGAGAAACCGGAUAAACUUCUUGCGCAACGACGAUUCUUUAAGAGAAUCGAUAGAAGUUCUUAGUACCCAGUACAUUCGCCUUAAAAAAAAACAUUCGCCUUAAAAAGCAGACUUGAACAAAAAACGUUUAAUUCUAUUAUGUAUAAUAAAGGACCUUGGGAUGCUGAUUAAAUCAUGUUGGACCAAACAACGCAAAAAUCAAUUUUGGGAACACGAUUGCCAACGAAAUGGAUCCGUUUUUUUUAAAGAAAACUUUCGCAUGAACCGCGGUUCAUUUAAAAAAUUAUGCGAAAUCCUCCGGCGUCUACAAAAAAUGGAUGCGAACUACAGAAAAGUUAUUCCGCUCGAGAUAAGAGUGGCUAUAGCAAUAUUAUAUAUGUUUGUAAGUAAAUUUACGGUUUGCGAAAUUUUGCUGGAAUUUUGUACCGAAAUCUGGAGAUUACUGCAACCAUCCUGCUUCAAAAUGCUGCCACUAAAUAUAGAAAGCAUAACAGAAUUGGUUACUGCUUUCGAGGUACUUGGAUUCCCACAAUGCUUAGGAGCAAUUGACGGAUGCCACAUUGAGGAACAAAUGUUGAACACGCAGUCGUUUCCACCGAAAUUUCCAUCGGUUCGGAGUUCGUAGAACCUUUUUAAUAAUGUAUAUAUAUAUUCCAUAAAAAAACACAUGUAUCUUACUUUGAAAGCUUUCCUCCACUAAGCCCUCUGUGUUGUAGCUUUUAUAUGGCGACAGUAUUGCGCUCAUUUUUUUUAAACAAAGUUUUCUUCUUAUUAUAAAACAUAAUAACAUAUAACGCAUUAAUAUUUACUCAAUACUGGUUUUGACUUCUGCCGCCGUGAAGGUGACACCUUGCUGCUGCAGCUCCACUGCCAUUUCUUCUAAUAUGUGGCUAUUCUUUCUUGGGCCUCGAAGCGAACCAACUUUUGCUUCCCACAACUCAAUUAGUAAGGCUUCUCCCAUCUCACUCCACGAAUUUCGUUUUUUAUACAAUAUAUUUUUUUCUUCAUUUGAACACAGUGGAAUGUAAACAAAUUGUCAAGUGCCAUUUAGGGCUGGCAAAAUAUGUCUUCUAAUAAUAUCGAUUAAACUAGAGCAGGCACCGAUUAUAAUGAGUGGAAUGUAAGUUUUCAAGAGAUUUUUAGCGAAAACUGUGUUUUCGUUUGACAGAUCUUGUAUGGAAGAAAACACAAGUUUUCGGGUGAAAACCUCUUUUGUCUAUGAAAACACGAAUUUUGUGUCGGUGCGAAUUAUUAUACUCUGUAGCAGCAGGUUGCGAAAGUAUAAUAAUAGAAUAUAAAAUGUUCGGUUAUACCCGAUCGAAUUUCAACUUUUUGCAUUUGCGUUUAGAACUUUUUGUCCUCUACGCCUAAGAUUUUUUCUUUUUUUGACUUCCGGGUUCUCAUGAGUAUUGUAUUAUUAUUUUUCGUGAAUUAUUUAACUUUCACUAAGAGUAAAAUUUCACGUUGAGUAAAAAUUGAGAUAUUUUGAUUUAAGCUUGGUACAUGUGUUUCUUGGCAAUCUGAGGAGAUUGGGGGUAAGCGGACGAUAACAUAAAAAAAAAAAGUAAGAGGCAUUAAAUUAUAUAGAGCUGCACAGCAAUUGGUGUAAAUAUUGGCCAAUGUGCAUGGCACCGCGCACCUUUAGAUGAGAUUCCUUCUGAUCUCAUCUGUACCCUUCACUCUACAAUAUAUGUAUGCAGUAAUUAAAAAACUGGGACAAACGUUAACGGUAAUUAUAUAUUGAUAUCUCUUCGAUAAUAUUGAAAUAUUGUAUAGAAUUGAAAUAAUUGAUACAGCAAAUGAAAGGACGAAGUUAAUAGAUUUCACAAAAACAAUUUCGUUAAAUUUAUUAAUCCGGGUGUCAUUCGAAGCAGCAUUUCGAAGUUUGUAUCGAUCGAUAAAAACCUAAAAUAUGUUUAUUACCAUACAUACAUAAUGUCAUUAUAAUCAAUUAAUGUCUUUGUUAAUUAGUAAUAUCGAUAUACCGUCUUCGAGAAGGUAUGUAAAUAAUAAUAGAGAAAAUGCCGAUGGCUGUCCUUUGCCUAGUAGUAUCAUCUUAUUUUCGGAAUUAAGUUGUAAAAGGGUUUCCAAUAAGAGUGAUAUGGGAUAUAAGAAAUAGUCUAAUGGAGCUAAAUCACAACUUCUUGGAAGACAUUCAAUGUCACAAUUUCUUAAAAUUAACGAAUUUCCAAACCAGCACAAAACUAUUCGGCUAAUUUAAACAAGCUCUUCUUAAUGUAGAAAUAGUGGGUUAUUAAUGAAAUGUAGUACUUUUUUUUCCUCAAAAUUAUUUUAAGUAAGCCGAGUAACGAUAUUUCAAGAAGUACCUGUAUCACUAAAACUAGAACUGCUAUGAAGAAACUUCAUAAAACAAAAAACAAAAUUCAAUUCAAAUAAUAAAUUUUAUCCAUAUUUCUUUCGUUCACUCCCGGUCCAACAUCAAAUAUCGCAACCCAUAUCACCGCAGCCCCAAACCAUACUUUAUCGUUGGGCGAAAGAUCGAUUAUUUAAGCUCUUCAUUAGCUUUGUACCAUACAUAAGAUUGUCGUACGUUGGAUUUUCUUUUUGUUUGUAUAUAAAACCCGAUUCUAAAAAUGUUCUUUUAUGUGCUCUAGUCUUGGUCUUACUCGUUAAUAAUUUUUUCCACUCCACUCUACCAUUGUACUAUUGUUUUCUAAGUUCGUUUUAAAUCGUUUUUGCAUGAGCCUUCUUUCCGAGAUACUUUUCAGCUGCGGAUGUUAACUUUUAGGCACUAUUAUGACUGUUUUUCAUUAUUUCAGCCAACGUUGUUUUUAUAUCUUUUGAUUUAUUGAAAGCAGUUGUUGGUGCUCUUUUAACAUUUUCGCUUAAAUCUCACACAUAUUUUCUGCUUUUUUG
Long non-coding RNA from Bactrocera oleae (olive fruit fly), 3148 nucleotides. RefSeq lists it as uncharacterized. The record is from RefSeq and is a predicted model, not a curated record. Lineage: Eukaryota; Metazoa; Arthropoda; Insecta; Diptera; Tephritidae.